This 460-nucleotide ribosomal RNA is filed under the name uncultured bacterium. RNAcentral describes it as "partial 16S ribosomal RNA". It matches the Rfam family "Bacterial small subunit ribosomal RNA", at positions 338 to 795 of the family's 1533-position model. The record is from RNAcentral.
CCUACGGGAGGCAGCAGUGAGGAAUAUUGGUCAAUGGUCGGAAGCCUGAACCAGCCAAGUAGCGUGCAGGAUGACGGCCCUACGGGUUGUAAACUGCUUUUAUACGGGAAUAAAGCGCCUUACGUGUAGGGCUUUGCAUGUACCGCAUGAAUAAGGACCGGCUAAUUCCGUGCCAGCAGCCGCGGUAAUACGGAAGGUCCGGGCGUUAUCCGGAUUCAUUGGGGUUAAAGGGAGCGUAGGCCGCGCGUUAAGCCCGCCUGGAAAUGCCGCGGCUCAACCCGGGCACUGCGGUGGAAACUGGAUGGCUUGAGUGCACGACAGGCAGGCGGAAUUCGUGGUGUAGCGGUGAAAUGCAUAGAUAUCACGAGGAACCCCGAUUGCGAAGGCAGCCUGCCGGAGUGCGACUGACGCUGAGGCUCGAAGGUGCGGGUAUCAAACAGGAUUAGAUACCCCAGUAGUC